Molecule: ribosomal RNA, 253 nt
Filed under: uncultured bacterium
Lineage: Bacteria
Description: partial 16S ribosomal RNA
Rfam family: Bacterial small subunit ribosomal RNA
Source: RNAcentral
UACGUAGGCAGCGAGCGUUGUUCGGAGUUACUGGGCGUAAAGAGUGCGUAGGCGGUUUUCUAAGUUUGGUGUGAAAUCUCCCGGCUUAACUGGGAGGGUGCGCCGAAGACUGGAAGGCUUGAGUACUUAAGAGGAUCGCGGAAUUCCCGGUGUAGAGGUGAAAUUCGUAGAUAUCGGGAGGAACACCAGUGGCGAAGGCGGCGACCUGGGCCAAUAUUGACGCUGAGGUGCGAAAGCGUGGGGAGCAAACAGG